Long non-coding RNA from Micropterus dolomieu (smallmouth bass), 5768 nucleotides. RefSeq lists it as uncharacterized. The transcript is spliced from 3 exons. Lineage: Eukaryota; Metazoa; Chordata; Actinopteri; Centrarchiformes; Centrarchidae. The record is from RefSeq and is a predicted model, not a curated record.
GUCACUCACUACAUAUACCAGCCCAGAUGCUUUGUUCCCCUGUCAGGUUAUCCUAAUUGCAAUGUUUUUGCUUUUGAGCUUCUGCCACCUCUGCCUACCUGAACCUGCCUGAACCUGCCUCACUUUCCUGCCCUCCAUCCCUCAUCAGGACCUUGUUCUCCACCUCCUCCUUCAACCUGCCUGUGAAGAAUGGCUCUGUGCAAACUGCAUAAAUCAGCAGCCUCUGAACAGACCCAGCUCCAGGGAGACUUUGAGCAGCGUGAUGUCCGGCAGACUGUCCAUGAGGGUGGCGAUUUUGAAGGCAUCCUGGGCCAGUUUGAAGAUGUGGGAUGCGGAGUGGAUGUUCUUCUGGAUGGACUCUAACACCGUUUCUAGCUUACGAGCAUCUCCUGGUAACACGGCAAACAAAAGGGGACAGAGAAGCAAAGUCAGUCUUGUAUUUCUCUCUAUACAAACCCAUUUUAUCAGAUAUUUAUUUACAAAGUCACACACAAUUAGAGAAACCCUGUCUUUAAAAGCCCUCGUGUUUAGCUCUUCUAGAGUUUGUAACUGAAACUAAACUAAAAAACCACAGAAAUUCAAUCGUGUGCAGCCUUAUUUUACUUAUUGCUUUCAGUCGUAUCAAGCUGCGUUUGGUUACUUCUGAAACCCACAUUUCCUGCUGCUGCUGCUGCUGCUUCACAAUGAGGAAAAACAAACAUUUUAUUGUGAAGCAGAUUGCAAAUGUGAAGCUUAGGUCAUUUGAGUUAGAGUAACUUUGUUAGAGUUGAAAUUUCUCAAUAAAAGUUGGUCAACCCCAACUCAUAAUCACAGUAAACAACUUGUUUUCCUUUGGCCUAGAGUAUGCAAGUCUCCAAAUGUCUUUAAAAAAGCACUAAAUUCAGUUCCAUCAACAACCAAAAAAGGCCAGAGAAGGGUCUUUUUUUCUUGCCGGCUGUAGGCACUAACAUUAGUUUAAUUCUGUUUGUAUGUGGUUGUCAGCUGUUGGGAGACGUUAAAUAUAACUAUAAACUAGACGGAUUGUGCCGCAGGAGUCUGUUUAAUUAAUCAAUUUAUCCUUUUAGUGGACACCAUCAGACCUGUGGCGUCACUACUGCUAGCUACGGUGGCUAGGAGGCUCAUCCACCCGUAACAGACAAUUAACUUUUUCAAAAUUUUUAUCAAAAUCAUUUUUAAUUGGUUAAUCCAUCCUUCAGCUUUCUAUCACACGCUGGGUCCAGGUCACGUUAUUGAUAAUUAUAGUACCUGAAAUUGUUAUAUAGAGCUGGGAAGUCCUGAGAAAAUAAUUUUGAUAAAUUUGAAUUAAUAAUUUUAUUGUGCUUAAUAAAUUAUUUUAGGCCUUAUUGUCGCCACUGGUUUCCCCCCCCAUUCUUAAAAAAGGUAAUUAACUGCUUUAUGCACAGUACCACCUAAAACCAAUUCACAAUGGCCGGCGUUACACCCCCCUCCUUUGAACACUGUUUCUCCUUAGACGUGCACUGUAGAAAAUAAUUCUCCCGGGCUUUUAAAUAUGUGUGUGUACCUUUAGCAGCAGUGAGCAUGGUGGAGGCCAGUUCACACUGUUGGGUCUCUAUGUGGCUGAGAGUGAACCAGCGAGGGAGGCGGUUGGGCAUCACUGACACUAUAUGGUGAGGCCGAGACAAGUCACCGGAAGGGGCCGUGGACUCCAGGACCGGCAGCCUGAGCACACAGGAGAAAAACUUUAUUAGCUCUUUAUUAGACAUCACCAGGAACGUAUCUGUCCAAUCAGGAAAAACAUUUCAUGGGAGGUAAAGAAGUUAUCAAAGAGCAAAGCUCCUUUUAUAGAAUCAAUCAAUAGUUUUGCUCCACACCUCAACUCAGGUGGAUGUUCGCCUCAGGCCACGGACACUGAGAAUAAGGAAGAGUUUAAAAAUAACAGCUCAAUUCUUUUCUCCCCAAACGCCCUCCUGUUAUGUCCUGUUACAGCUGCAGUGAUACCACAUUUCUGUAGUCUAAUAUUCCUCUUUUGUAAUUCAAGUCUGGGAUUAAAAAAAUAUAUAAUAAUUUACAUAUCAUAAAAAUCAAAGGCGGUUUAAUUUGGGUGAGAAGAAAUCAAGUUUCGUAACACCCGUGGCGGUGAGGGGAGGCCAACAGCGUGCAUUUAUUAUUCACACAUUUUAUAAAACUCGUUUUCAGCAGCUUUGAAUUAUUUAGUGAAUAUUCCAGCAAAAGGAGGUUUUGUCAUUAAACAGUGCCCCAGAUCCAGCCCCUAAAUCUGCCUCUCCUUUUUCUCCGUCUAUCUCCGUCACACACAAACCAAACGAGACUUAAAGGAGACGAGGAGUGGGUCACAUGCAAAGGUUUUGUCCGAUCCAGGGCCGUAACUCCCCGUCUUAACUCUCUUUACUUCUGUUCAUCAUAUGCCGGGUUCAGACUACAUGAUUACAGCCCGACUAGACAGAUGCAGGAAAUUAAACUGGCUGUCAGACCUGUCAAAUAAUAAUUUUAUCCCGUGUAUAAAAUUUUUCAUCUAUCUGACACUUUGAUACAAAGCGACUUACAAUUGCUAUACAUGUCAGAGGUCGCACGCCUCUGGAGCAACGGUGAGUUAAGUGUCUUGCUCAGGGACACACUGGUGGAUGGGUCAAUGUGGGAAUCGAACCCGGGUCUCUCACACCAAAAAUCUCUUGCCCUGCCUCUUCCUAUUUCUCUCUCCCUGUAUGUGUCUAAUCAGCUGACUUUCCCCAUCAGCAGUUUAUUCUGUAAAGUCGCCGACAAGACAAAGACUCUGUUUUCACAGCAGCAAGUGCGGCGCUUGUGGGAGGAGCCUUAUUAAUGACGUAGCCUAUUAAAACAAUUGAAACCAACGUGGUACCCAAUGAUAUCUGCAGUGUUGCUUUACCUGAUCCGUGCUUGUAAAAUAUUCACCGUGUCCGCGUCUUGUAGCUUAAUAGAUAACAUCUCACUCUGUGUUUCUCUGCAAUAUGCUAAAAUAGGUCGCUAAAUAUUCUUUGGCGGCCGUUUGCCGGCUAGCCCCAAGUCUAUGUGGGACACACUGUACAGGUCAAACUCAGUAAGACUGCCGUCGUGACUUUGACGUAAAAGUGAGCAGGAGGCUUAUUCACACGUGAGACUAACGUGUUAAAUUGCCAUCAGAUGAAGGUAACGAGGUACACGUUUUAAAAGUUCUUUGAGUACACUCAACGGCUUUAAAUGAGGGGGUCUACUCACCGCAUGGCCCUCAGUGCAAUUUUGUACGCCAGUUCGGCGUCAUGAGGUAGCAGAGAGGUGAAGAGAUACUUGGCAAAAGUGUGCAUGGGGACACUUUCUCUGUAGAGUAAUUCCCCCAGACCACUGUAAGGACCAGCUGGAAGAAACAGAAAAAGAGAGGUCGAUGUAAAAAAAGAGAGUUCUCAGCAUGCAGAACGGAGCUGCAUGAUAGUUCCCGUAUGACUGGACAGUGACCUUGUGUAUGGGAUUAUUAUCUUGCCUGAUGUAUCACUGAUUUAAACACACAGGCUGUUGGGAAAAGUAUGACUCAGCUGCUCCACAUGUACAGACUUUUUCUUCUUACUUUAAAACAGCAUCCCAGCACAUCCAGAAACAACAACUCUCAUGUAAAGCAAAGAGAAAUUACAUGACUCACAAAUGAGCUGUCGUGUCCACCCUUUAUUCCUCUGUACAGUUUUACUUAGUGCCAAAACAUGUCGCAAAACAAAAAGGAGUCAAUAAAAUUACUUCCAUUAUUGCUUUUCUUUAAGAAAAAAAUUUGAUUAAAUGUAAUCAGUUUAGCUGAUCUCAAGAUAUAUCAACCUUUUAAAGUAUAAGGCUAGCGUCAUUUUUUGUGAAACACUGUUAGUUUUGACUUCUCUACUCAGCCCAAGUCCAUUGGUUUCUUUUUUUUUUUUGUUAUUUUUUGGGGAAAAAGCUAAAUAAGUUUGAUUAAAACUGCACACUUGUUUUUUAACAAAUGUUACUCAUACGGGUAAUAUUUUAGCUGCGGAUGAAUACACAUGUAGUGCUCUAGUGAGUAUUUCUGGCAGCCUCCUUCCAAAUAUAAGAUGCAUGAAUAGUAUGAUAUAUAUGAGCUGGUCAGAUUACAAACGAACUGGGAUGUAGGAAAAGGAGGGAGAUGAAACAUAUGCAACUAUUAGAAGUGUCUGAAGUGAAGUUAUUGAUGCAUUAGUCUGAAAGAAGGAAUAAUUUUUCAUCACAAAUGUUGCACAUCAUUACAAAUUUUGAAAGCGGGUUAAAGGAUAAAUAUGGUGUUAUUUACUGAUUGUUAACAAAUAUCACAACACAACAAUGUGAUCGUCAGUCUCUCAAUACUCCCAAACCCAUUUGAUGACUUAAAUCUUUAAACAGCUCACAAAUAUAUAGUUUAAUUUUAAAAUUGUAAUUUCCUAAAACAGCUGCUCACAGUUGUUUUUAAUCAAACAGGAGGAAAUAGUGCACUUAUUUGGGAACCAUUUUCAGCUGCGGAUGAAUCCAUAAUUGGUGCUCUAGUGAGUAUUUGUGGCAGCAGGCCGGUGAAUGUGAUGAAGGAACAACUCAGUGCAGCAGUGAGGCUCACUGAUGUGUUUUUAAUAGUUUUUGGACAACAAUGGAGCUCUAUGGGCCAGAGGAAGAGGAGAUAUUUGGCUGUGAUAAACACACAGCACCUGUUAGUAAGGAUGAAAUAAAUGUGAGGAAACUAAAUUUAUGGUUUUAAAAUAUAAAAACAAAAAGACAUGUUAUAACCGCUUGCCUCGAUAAGAUAACAACAAUGACUUCCUAUGGGCCUUUAUAAUCACAACCAAACGGAGCCAUAUGUGAGAGGCCGACCGCCUCUAUCAUUAGUGGGUUUGAAGCGAAAAGCCUUGAACCAUGAUGAGCCACAUCUUCCACAUACACACGGUUUCAUUAUACCCCUCUGUACACACAUGCAUUCACACAACGUCAGCAAACAGACUGACAAUGCAAACAAUGUACUCUCACAACUGUGAAUACAGAAGUGCAAACACGUUACACGUUCUGCACGGUUAACUCAACGCCACGCACACUUACCGUUGACAGACAAUUAAAGUACAAAGAGCUGAUUGUGGUUCGGGGUGUGAGACGGGAAUCUUCCUGUGUCUGGAUAAUGUGUCGUUCCCGGGUCCAGUGGGGAUUUAAGGAUCGAAAACAAAACACUUAAAGGAAUUCUCUUAUUUGCUUUUUUUGCUGAGUGCUAGAUGAGAAAAUCAAUACAACUCAUGUCUGUAUGAAGCUAACACGGUUAGCUUAGCUUAGCUCUGUCCAUGUAAGAUUCAACUCCCUUCCUGCCCCAAUAGUUUUAAUGCAGUCCCUGAUUAAUACGUCAUCCACUGAAUGUUGUUUGUUUAAUCUUUGGCAGAUUUUUGUUUGGCCGUUUCGCCAUGAAAUGUUGUACAGAUGUUCACAGCCCCCAGAAAAUGAAUCCAACUACUUGCAAACCUAAUGACAUUCCCAUCAGCCUCAGCUGUAUUUUGGUGCCAAGUUACCAACGUUAACAUGCUAACAUGCUAAAUUAAGCAUGGUAAACAUUUUACCUGCUAAACAGCAUGUUAGCAUUUUGAAGUUAGCAUUUAGCACAAAGCACCACCGUGCUGAACUCGGUCUAAGCAUUUGCUUUUAAAAGUGAUCAAUUUAAGUUAAGAUAUCUACAUUUACUCUUAUUUAUACUCAUUGUAUUCUGCUUAUUUAAGUAUUUUUAAGAGUUUUUUUUUAUUGUAUUGUACUGCAUUGGAUUUUAUUUCAACGUAUGGUUCAAUAAUUGUUGUUUUUAUUUGUGACAUGAUUCCCUUGUA